GAUGAACGCUGGCGGCGUGCUUAAUACAUGCCAGUCGAACGGAAAGAUGCGGCGCUUGCUCCUCUGUCGUUUGCCGAGCGCGGGUGAGACACACGUGUAUACCCUACCUAUCAGUCUGGUAACUCUACGAAACACCGGCUCUAAUCCCAGAUAAUCUAUUGAACCACAUGGUUGGAUGGAAAGUGUCGGCGUUUCUGGAUGGAUUCGCGGGUUACCAGCUUGUUUGGCGGGUAGUGGCUUACCAGGGUUUUGAAGGGUAGCCGGCGUGAGAGGGUGACCGGCCACAUUGGGACUGAGAUACGGCCCAGACUGCUACGGGCGGCAGCAGUGGGGAAUAUUGCACAAUGGGCGGAAGCGUGAUGCAGAAACGCCGCGUGCGGAAUGACGGCCUUCGGGUUGUAAACAGAUUUCGACUGUGACGAAGCGUGAGUGACGGUAAUGGGUAAAGAAGCACCGGCUAACUACGUG
Molecule: ribosomal RNA, 468 nt
Filed under: uncultured bacterium
Lineage: Bacteria
Description: partial 16S ribosomal RNA
Rfam family: Bacterial small subunit ribosomal RNA
Source: RNAcentral